CCUACGGGUGGCAGCAGUGAGGAAUAUUGGUCAAUGGACGCGAGCCUGAACCAGCCAAGUAGCGUGAAGGAUGACUGCCCUAUGGUUUGUAAACUUCUUUUAUAUGGGAAUAAAAUGUUCCACUCGUGGCAUUGUGUAUUUACCAUAAGAACAAGCAUCGGCUCACUCCGUGCCAGCAGCCGCGGUAAUACGGGGGAUGCGAGCGUUAUCCGGAUUUAUUGGGUUUAGAGGGAGCGGAGGGGUAUUGUUAAGUCAGUUGUGAUAGUCAGCGGCUCAACCGGAGCAUUGCAGUUGAAACUGGUAGUCUUGAGUACAGUAGAGGUGGGCGGAAUUCGUGGUGUAGCGGUGAAAUGCGUAGAUAUCAGGAAGAACGCCGAUUGCGAAGGCAGUACACUGGACAGCAACUGACGCUGAGGCGCGAAAGUGUGGGUAUCAAACAGGAUUAGAUACCCGGGUAGUC
This 460-nucleotide ribosomal RNA is filed under the name uncultured bacterium. RNAcentral describes it as "partial 16S ribosomal RNA". It matches the Rfam family "Bacterial small subunit ribosomal RNA", at positions 338 to 795 of the family's 1533-position model. The record is from RNAcentral.